This is a long non-coding RNA of Gallus gallus (chicken), 692 nucleotides long. The record is from Ensembl. NCBI's taxonomy places the organism in Eukaryota, Metazoa, Chordata, Aves, Galliformes, Phasianidae.
CUAGAGAACUGUCCCUUAGAUAAAGUCACUGAAGAACUGGAGUGGUGGAGAAUCAAAGUCAAGAAGCAGAAGGCAGCUUGUAACUGCAGGAGCAGAAGAGAGUUCAUAACAGUUUCCACCAUGUGGAGCUGGCAGUGCACAACAAUCUGGAAGAGGACACAACCAGGGCAGCUGACCCCAGUAGGCAAAGGGAUGCCCCAUACCAUAUGGCACCAUGCUUGUCAUUGCAAUUGGGAGAGCUGGCUGGAAGAGUGGCCACUGCUCAAGGUCCUGCUAGGCACUGGUCAGCAGGUGACUGUUCUUCAAAUCUGACACCACCUCCACUGACAUCAUUUGCCAUGCUUUGGCUGCAGAUUCCCUUUCACAUACUUGCAUCUCUCAAUUAAGAUACACACCUUUUUUGUUUUCCUCUAAAUUUUGCCCUACAAUACAUAAAAAUGUGUUUAUUGGAGAUUAAAAAAGAAAUCACUGAAUAAAAGUGGCAGAUCAGACCGUAUCUGUGAUGUCUUCAGGUUUGUUUUUUUAAACUGAUUUUGCUCAUGCAGCUUAUAUGUGCAGCCAUUCUUAUUUCUGCUAGGAGGUGCAGCUGACUACUUCAAACUGUACUUCAAUAUCUUGGCUCCACAAAAGUCAACAAUCAGUGGCAAAACUUAUUCAAGAACACCAAAAGCAUGUACCUGCAUAGAGAAUAG